This 244-nucleotide ribosomal RNA is filed under the name Trichomonas vaginalis G3. RNAcentral describes it as "5.8S ribosomal RNA". The stretch from base 1 to 137 matches the Rfam family "Eukaryotic small subunit ribosomal RNA", at positions 1671 to 1831 of the family's 1831-position model. Lineage: Eukaryota; Parabasalia; Trichomonadida; Trichomonadidae. The record is from RNAcentral.
GCCCGUCGCUCCUACCGAUUGGAUGACUCGGUGAAAUCACCGGAUGCUUACGAGCAGAAAGUGAUUAAAUCACGUUAUCUAGAGGAAGGAGAAGUCGUAACAAGGUAACGGUAGGUGAACCUGCCGUUGGAUCAGUUCUAGUUUUAAUAACUAACACCAACUUCUUUUAUUAAACAAAAACCAAUACAAAAUUAAAAACUAACUUCAUCAAAAACCAAGUCUCUAAGCAAUGGAUGUCUGGCUC